RNAcentral lists this long non-coding RNA (2400 nucleotides) under Capra hircus (goat). RNAcentral describes it as "lncRNA (ENSCHIG00010010983.1)". Lineage: Eukaryota; Metazoa; Chordata; Mammalia; Artiodactyla; Bovidae. The record is from RNAcentral.
AGUAUCAAAUUCACAACUCUGUUUUUCUAUGGCAAGUAAAGGUUCCCCUUCAUGUAUUACGGGGGAGAGAUCAUGGAGGAAAAAUGCUUCAGGGGAAGCACUUUCCCUAGCAGAAAUUGCCUAAAUCAUAGCUUCUCUACUUGAUGUGGUAGGAAAAAUGAGGACUGAUUCACUGAGGUUUUCCUGACCACCUUACACUCAUUUACCUUGAUUUAAUCCAGUUUAAAGAUACAAUAAUAUUUGUAGUCUUUAGAUUUAAUUUGUAUUAGGAAGACUUUCCCAGUUUUGGUGGGGGUGCUGUUGAGAAAAUUGGGAUUCUUAGUCAUUUAUGCAAAAAUGUAUCCCAGGUUGUCACCUGCUAAAUUCUGCAUGAUGUGCAAAAAAUGGCAAAAGGAAUGUUCAAUGUGUCGUCUGAUUUUUCAUUUAGCUGUAUAUGUAAGCCCACUGCUAGACCUAACCAUCAUGGUUUGGCUUAAGUCACAUUACUAUAUUUGAAACUGGCAGCACUUUUUCCCUUUUACAUAUGUGGUUAAAUAUCAGAAAAUUCUGUAACUAGCAAUUUUUGUUUCUUCUCAACAGAAAUAGACCACAUCUAGGUGGUGGUGAUAGCUCAUGCCCGGGCAUCAUUAAAUAAUUAUUUUAGCGUUUAGUAUGCCAAAUGGAUUGAUUUCUCAGAGACAGCUGGUUAUAGAGUCAGACUGACUAUGUUUCCAGUUUGUAAGUAUGCAAAUAAUGAGUUCUGAACUCCUUUGUCACAGGCGCCUGAGUUACUAAAAAGUUUAAGGCAAAGCCUGUUCCUUCAGGAAUUUCUAAACUAAUUAAGGAGCAGAAAUAAAUGUAUGAGAUACAUGAGCUAAUUUUCCAUUUAACACUGCUAAUAAAGGCAGUGUUUCCAAGAACUUCAUUUUAAGCCUGUUGGCUCUUUUUCAUUCUUUAACUUUUUCAUCCUUCAAGUCUGUAAAUAUGAGGAAGUGUAUCUCCAUCUCCAAACUCCUGCACAGUCUAAACCCAUGUUUAUAUCCAUCUAAAUUCUGUACUCCUUUUGAACUUUAUCAUCCUCCCAAACCCUACUGUCACUUCUUAAUCCAUUGUCUAUUUAUGUAGGUACUCAAGCCUUAAAUAUGGGAAUCUACUUAACUUUUCCCUAUGCAGUUAAUGAAUCAACAGGUACUUACAAUACUAUCAGAACAUUGUUAAUUGGCUAUACCCCAACACAAAAUGUUUUUGGUAUUAAAAAAAUUACAAAAAUAAAGUAAAAAUAAAACAAUUACUUAGAAUUCUAUUUCCUUUGUCUUUUUUACUUUCUUUGUGGUCUGUCCACUUCCCCCAGUCUCUGCAUCCACCACCUUAGUCUAUACCUCCAUCCCCUCUAAUCUGGGGUUACUUUGAUACCCCUCUUAAUUAGUCUUCCUAUCUUUGGUCUUGUUUUCUUCUAGCUCAUUCUACACAGUAAAAAGUAAAUUUACUUAUGAAUUCAAUUGCUAUUUAAAUGACUUUAAUACAUAUCGAUAUAAUUUAAGCUUCUUACCCAGCACAUAAAAGUCCUUCUAAGUAGCUUCCUCUGCCCCAGCCAGGCCAGGCAUAUAGAACUACUUGUAACUCUUUGCCCUCACUCUGUAACAAAUUUCUGCAUAUCCACCAAAAUCCACCUCAAGCACUAGUUCCUCCAACAGUCUUUGCUGAACCUCUCUUCCUGAAGUCUAAUUUUCAUGGUCUUUGCUGAGGCCUCAGAAGCCCUAUGCUUAUCUCCCAUACACCAAAAAUCACACAUUACUAUAACUAUCAACUUUUUUCUCAGUCUCUAUCUUAGACACCAUGGGCUUCCCAGAUGGUGAGGUGGUAAAGAACCUGUCUGCCAGUGCGGGAAACGUAAAGGUGGGGGUUCAAUCCUUGGGUCAGAAAAAUCCCCUGGAGUAGGAAAUAGCAACCCAAUCUAGCAUUCUUACUUGGGAAAUCCCGUGGACAGAGGAGCCUGGUGGCCUACAAUCCAUGGGGUCUCAAAGAGUUGAACAUGCCUGAGCAACUGAGCACACACACAGAUACUAGACACCACAUUAGAUCCUUAAGAACUGAUACCUAGACUUGAGUGACUCUAUCUUCCAGUGUCUACCACAAAGAAGAGGCCCAGUUAACACCUUUCAGAUAGGUGUAUCCUUGCAAUGAAAGACUACUCAGCAAUACAAAUAAAUAUACUAAUGAUACAUAUAACAUGGAUGAAUCUCCAUACAAUCAUGCCAAGUGAAAGAAGCCAGAGGAAAAGGAGUACAUACCACAUGGUUCCAUUUAUGUAAAUCUAAAAAAUACAAAUUAAUCUGUAGUGGCUGAAGAGAUAGGAAUGUGAGGAAAGUACAAGUAAAAGUUGCUCAGUCGUGUCCAACUCUUUGUGACCCCAUGGACUAU